CCCAAGAGAUCGGGAUAACACCUGGAAACAGAUGCUAAUACCGGAUAACAACAGAUGGUGCCUAUCAACUGUUUAAAAGAUGGUUCUGCUAUCACUCUUGGAUGGACCUGCGGUGCAUCAGCUAGUUGGUAGGGUAACGGCCUACCAAGGCGAUGAUGCAUAGCCGAGUUGAGAGACUGAUCGGCCACAUUGGGACUGAGACACGGCCCAAACUCCUACGGGAGGCAGCAGCG
Molecule: ribosomal RNA, 233 nt
Filed under: uncultured Lactobacillus sp.
Lineage: Bacteria; Bacillati; Bacillota; Bacilli; Lactobacillales; Lactobacillaceae
Description: partial 16S ribosomal RNA
Rfam family: Bacterial small subunit ribosomal RNA
Source: RNAcentral